CACAAGGACGAGCUGGAGCGUCAGUGCGCCGCCAUGCUCGCCCAAGGUAUCAUCCGUGCGAGUUGUUCCGCAUUCUCGUCCCCGGUACUGCUGGUCCGCAAGGCCGACGGGUCCUGGCGCUUCUGCAUCGAUUAUCGCGCCCUGAACGCCAUUACUGUCAAGAAUGCGUUCCCGAUUCCGGUGGUGGACGAACUCCUCGACGAGCUACGGCACGCUCGUUUCUUCACCAAGCUCGAUUUACGUUCCGGCUACCACCAGGUGCGGAUGCGUGCGGAGGACAUCCCGAAGACAGCUUUCCGUACUCAUGACGGCCUCUACGAGUUUCUGGUGAUGCCGUUCGGACUCUGCAACGCGCCGGCCACGUUCCAGGCCCUCAUGAAUGAUCUGCUGCGGCCAUACCUGCGCCGUUUUGUUCUCGUCUUCUUUGACGACAUCCUCAUUUUCAGCAAGACAUGGGCUGACCAUCUCCGACAUGUGCGCACCGUCUUCACGGUCCUGCACCAGCACCGGCUCUUCGUCAAGCGCUCCAAAUGCGCGUUCGCCGUUGAAUCAAUCGCAUACCUGGGUCACACCAUCUCCGCUGCAGGCGUGGCCAUGGAUCCGGAAAAGGUGCAGGCAGUAGCGGACUGGCCGCAACCACGCUCGGCGCGCGCGGUUCGGGGCUUUCUCGGCCUUGCGGGGUACUACCGCAAGUUUGUCAAGGACUUUGGCGUGGUUGCCGCGCCCCUGACGGCCCUCCUUCGCAAGGAUGGUUUCUCUUGGUCGCCGGAGGCGGCAGCAGCUUUUACCACCCUCAAGACGGCAAUCACCACGGCUCCCGUCCUCGCGUUACCGGAUUUUACACGGCCGUUCAUCGUCGAGUGUGACGCAUCGACGUACGGUUUCGGGGCCGUCCUUCUUCAGGACCACCACCCGGUGGCUUUCUUUAGCCGGCCAGCCGCGCCACGUCACCGUUCCCUGGCAGCGUAUGAACGGGAACUCAUCGGCCUGGUGCUCGCGAUUCGCCAUUGGAGGCCGUACCUAUGGGGGCGUCAAUUUGUGGUAAAAACGGAUCAUUACAGCCUCAAAUUUCUGCUUGACCAGCGUUUGGCCACCAUCCCGCAGCAUCAUUGG
This 1113-nucleotide ribosomal RNA is filed under the name Triticum aestivum (bread wheat). Its description in RNAcentral is "partial small subunit ribosomal RNA". The record is from RNAcentral. Lineage: Eukaryota; Viridiplantae; Streptophyta; Magnoliopsida; Poales; Poaceae.